UUUACUUUUGGAGCGGUUAGUGGCGGACUGGUGAGUAACACGUAAGCAACCUGCCUAUCAGAGGGGAACAACAGUUAGAAAUGACUGCUAAUACCGCAUAUGCCUAAGUAUCACAUGGUACAAUAGGGAAAGAAGCAAUUCGCUGAUAGAUGGGCUUGCGUCUGAUUAGAUAGUUGGUGGGGCAACGGCCUACCAAGUCAACGAUCAGUAGCCGGACUGAGAGGUUGAACGGCCACAUUGGGACUGAGAUACGGCCCAGACUCC
This 264-nucleotide ribosomal RNA is filed under the name uncultured Oscillospiraceae bacterium. RNAcentral describes it as "partial 16S ribosomal RNA". It matches the Rfam family "Bacterial small subunit ribosomal RNA", at positions 75 to 339 of the family's 1533-position model. The record is from RNAcentral. Lineage: Bacteria; Bacillati; Bacillota; Clostridia; Eubacteriales; Oscillospiraceae.